AUACAGAAUCUUCUUCUGUUUAAAUACCAGCUAGAUGUUUCCCAUUGUCCACUUGGUGUUCUCCUCAUGUAAAUGAAGUGGUGACCCACAAUCAGUCUGAUUGGUUGUGACAACCAAUCAGAGGCUGAAGUUACACCAGUCACAUUCCUAUGCAAACAUCUGAUUGGUUGUGGGGAAACAACCAAUCAGAGGCUAAAGUGAUGUUACUGAGUUGCACUUUUAUGCAAACGAAGAUUUGACCCACAGUCAUUCUGACUGGUUGCAGACAGCAACUAAUCAGAAGCUGAGGCGAAGUUACAAAAUUACACUCCUAUGCAAAAUCUGACUGGUUGCAGAAAACAACCAAUUAGAGGUACUUUCCAUUUUCACCUGCCCAUCAAAACAGCAACUCCACAAAACAAUGAUUUCUAUCUGCAUUUUACAAGAGGAAAUGAAGCUACAGAGAGGACAUUAACUUACAGGAAUUGACAGUUUGUCAAAAUGUAUUGAAUUCUAUACAGGACUGGUGAAAUACACAUUAUUGAUAUGCAGCUGGAAUAUGGGAUACAAUCUAUCUAUGAAUAACUGGUACAUUCCAGUCUCCAUUUUUGCUGCCUACACCAACCAAACAAGCAAAAUUAAUGUAUUUAAAUAAAGAAGAAAAUAUAAAAGUGACAGAAAAAAUAAAAAGCUUCUUACAUGAAUAU
This is a long non-coding RNA of Callithrix jacchus (white-tufted-ear marmoset), 686 nucleotides long. RefSeq lists it as uncharacterized. NCBI's taxonomy places the organism in Eukaryota, Metazoa, Chordata, Mammalia, Primates, Cebidae. The record is from RefSeq and is a predicted model, not a curated record.